Molecule: transfer RNA, 75 nt
Filed under: Candidatus Caldarchaeum subterraneum
Lineage: Archaea; Thermoproteati; Nitrososphaerota; Candidatus Caldarchaeales; Candidatus Caldarchaeaceae
Description: tRNA-Arg
Rfam family: tRNA
About the family: Transfer RNA (tRNA) molecules are approximately 80 nucleotides in length. Their secondary structure includes four short double-helical elements and three loops (D, anti-codon, and T loops).
Source: RNAcentral
GGGCCCGUAGCUCAGCAUGGACAGAGCGGCGGCCUCCUAAGCCGUAGGGCGUGGGUUCAAGUCCCACCGGGCCCG